AUACGUAGGGGGCGAGCGUUGUCCGGAAUGACUGGGCGUAAAGGGCGUGUAGGCGGCCGAUUAAGUCUGGAGUGAAAGUCCUGCUUUCAAGGUGGGAAUUGCUUUGGAGACUGGUUGGCUUGAGUGCGGAAGAGGUAAGUGGAAUUCCCAGUGUAGCGGUGAAAUGCGUAGAGAUUGGGAGGAACACCAGUGGCGAAGGCGACUUACUGGGCCGUAACUGAUGCUGAGUCGCGAAAGCGUGGGGAUCGAACAGGAUUAGAUACCCUGGUAGUCCACGCUGUAAACGAUGAAUGCUAGGUGUAGGGGGUAUCGACCCCUCCUGUGCCGGAGUAAACGCAAUAAGCAUUCCGCCUGGGGAGUACGGCCGCAAGGUUGAAACUCAAAUGAAUUGGCGGGG
RNAcentral lists this ribosomal RNA (397 nucleotides) under uncultured bacterium. Its description in RNAcentral is "partial 16S ribosomal RNA". It matches the Rfam family "Bacterial small subunit ribosomal RNA", at positions 523 to 918 of the family's 1533-position model. The record is from RNAcentral.